Molecule: ribosomal RNA, 521 nt
Filed under: uncultured Chloroflexota bacterium
Lineage: Bacteria; Bacillati; Chloroflexota
Description: bacterial SSU rRNA
Rfam family: Bacterial small subunit ribosomal RNA
Source: RNAcentral
AAUAUUGCACAAUGGGCGAAAGCCUGAUGCAGCAACGCCGCGUGCACGAUGAAGGCCUUCGGGUCGUAAAGUGCUUUUCGGGGAGAUGAGAAAGGACAGUAUCCCCGGAAUAAGGAUCGGCUAACUACGUGCCAGCAGCCGCGGUAAAACGUAGGAUCCGAGCGUUAUCCGAAUUUACUGGGCGUAAAGCGCGUGUAGGCGGUUCGGUAAGUUGGAUGUGAAAUCUCCUGGCUCAACUGGGAGAGGUCGUUCAAUACUGUCGGACUAGAGGGUGGUAGAGGGAGGUGGAAUUCCCGGUGUAGUGGUGAAAUGCGUAGAUAUCGGGAGGAACACCAGUGGCGAAAGCGGCCUCCUAGACCGCUCCUGACGCUCAGACGCGAAAGCUAGGGGAGCGAACGGGAUUAGAAACCCCGGUAGUCCUAGCUGUAAACGAUGUGAACUUGGCGUUGGUGGGGUAAAAGCCAUCAGUGCCGAAGCUAACGCGAUAAGUUCACCGCCUGGGGACUACGGCCGCAAGGUUA